This is a long non-coding RNA of Apis florea (little honeybee), 210 nucleotides long. The record is from RefSeq and is a predicted model, not a curated record. Lineage: Eukaryota; Metazoa; Arthropoda; Insecta; Hymenoptera; Apidae.
CUCGUGAAGAUUAGACGUUUCUUUUCAAAUAAGUAGCUGCAGUUGCUGAAAUUACUUUAGGCGGGAAAAAGGAUUUUCAAUAUGGACGCUAUGAUGAUAAUUUGUUUUAUGAAGAAGAGAUUAUUAUGACUGCGUGCAAUGCAGUCAUUAGAAUCAGUGUUUGCGUAAUAAUGUUUCUAAUAUUUUUUAGAGCACAAUAGCUCUCAUUAA